GUGAAAUUGUAGUAUCGGUGAAGAUGCCGAUUACCCGCUGUGGGACGAAAAGACCCCGUGCACCUUUACUAUAGCUUAGUAUUGACUUUGAACAAGUGAUGUGUAGGAUAGGUAGGAGACUUUGAAGCUGCAUCGCCAGGUGUGGUGGAGUCGUUGUUGAAAUACUACCCUUUACUUGUUUAGAGCCUAACUUCCAAUGGAAGGACAGUGCUUGGUGGGUAGUUUGACUGGGGUGGUCGCCUCCAAAAGAGUAACGGAGGCUUCUAAAGGUUCCCUCAGCACGCUUGGUAACCGUGCGUAGAGUGCAAUGGCAAAAGGGAGCUUGACUGAGAGACAUACACGUCGAUCAGGUACGAAAGUAGAGCAUAGUGAUCCGGUGACACCGCAUGGAAGGGUCAUCGCUCAAAGGAUAAA
This 414-nucleotide ribosomal RNA is filed under the name Corethron hystrix. Its description in RNAcentral is "partial Bacterial large subunit ribosomal RNA". It matches the Rfam family "Bacterial large subunit ribosomal RNA", at positions 2036 to 2460 of the family's 2925-position model. The record is from RNAcentral. Lineage: Eukaryota; Bacillariophyta; Corethrophyceae; Corethrales; Corethraceae.